AAAUAUUUUAGAAAAUAAAAGAGAAAAUGUAUUGAAAGGAUGUUAGAGUAAUCUACCGUAAUCAAGUUCUUGAAUUCAUUUAAUCUUCGGUUCGUAGAAGAAAGGUAUACUUCUUGAUACUUUACUUGGCUAUCUAUCAUGCCCCGAUUCUCGGGCACACGCCUAUCCCUCAUCUUGGUCGAUUAAAAAUUUGCGAUAUCCCAGGAUGUAUCACUGACCCUUUCAUUUUCAUAUGCACAUGUGGAAGCAAUUAAAAAUCCCCAAACAAUAAAACAUUGGGAUAGAACAGUAGGACUAAAUUUCGAACUCUUAAAAACUUUCACUCUUAUAUACAAGGUGAUCUAUUAAAUUUAAUUCACAUUAAGCCAGUUUAAAAACAAGGUCUACAAGCAGAAGUGGGGUUCUACAAGCUAUGGGUCUCGUCCUCCUCUUCAUCAUCCUCCACACUCCAACUGGAGCCUUCAGCAGACUACACUGAACUUUCGAGAUCUUCAAAAUCCAAGUCUACUGCAUCUAGGGACUUGAAAUGGUUAUUUAAUAACCAAUGAAACAACGUCUUAGCAAGUUCUACCCCCUAAAACUCGUUUAGUAAAUUAAUACACCUUAGGGCUGCUUAUGCACAACACGAGUCAGAGGAUUUACCUUGGCCUCAGAGUUUGCCCUGCAUAUUAGCACAAAUCAAAUAGGCACCUAAGCAAUCAUAUCAAAGAUCGAUAUCUCGAUCAAUCGAGCUAGUCGAUUACCAAUAAACAAGACCACUCAUCAGUCAUUUCUAUUCAAUCAAUUAAUUCACAACAUCAUAUCAAAGCAAUGAUCAAUCGACCUAAUUGAUUACAUAUCCAUCAGACCAUACAUUCCCCACAAUGUAUAUCUAGUUGUCAAGCACACAUGACACAUGCAUUCUCUUAGGCACUAGUUCACCAAAGUCAUGUAUCAAAUCAUUGAGCUCAUGUGUCUCUUCCAAGAUGCCACACAUAAGUCCUUGGGCCCACGUCCAUUCUCUUAGGCACUCGCUUGCCAAAGUGAUGCAUCAAUUCACCGAGUUCACGUGCCCUUUUUACGAUGCCCAGGCCCACGUGCCUUCUCUUAGGUACUAGUUUACCAAAGUGACGCAUCAAAUCACUGAGCCCACGUGCCCUUUUAGAUGCCAUACUUAAUCAUUGGACCCACGUGCAUUCUCUUAGGCACCAAGUCUGCCAAAGUGAUGCAUCAAAUCACCGAGCCCACGUGUCCUUUUAGAUGUCAUACCGAAACAUUGGGCCCACGCGCAUUCUCUUAGGUACUAGUUCGCCAAAGUGAUGUAUCGGAUCACUGAGCCCACGUGCCCUUUUUAGAUGCCAAUACUUAAUCACCGAGCCAACGUACCAUUCUCCAGGUGAUUUACUUUCUACCAUGAUUCCACUAUGAAACAACUCCUUUCUCUAUAGAUCACCAGUCUACUAUCAAUACUGACCAUCGAUAUCCGAUCAUUUCCCAAUCAAAUAAUCAAAAACAACCAUUUAGGAAUAUAUCCUAAAAUUCCAUAUUUAAUUCAAUUCAGCACGAUUCAAAGCUCAAAUAAAUAAACGGAUUGCACCACGACAAUUAGCACGAAAUUGCAAUCACCGGCCAUCCUGGUUGAAUUUUCGGAAAAAUAAAUAAUUAAAUAAAUAAUUUCGAAAAUUAAAUAAAUAAACAUUAAAAAUCCAAUUUAGGCCCGUGAUACCUAAUUGGAACUCGAAACGGGUCGGGAAAACCCCGAGAUACAUUCAAUAAAUAUUAGAAUCUCUCUACUGGUUAAUGACUAAGUCCAACCACCUAACAUGCAUCAUUAAGUCACUAAUUUAAUUGUUCGAAACUAAUCUAAUCGCCUAAUUGCGCUUAAUUAAAUCUAAUCAACCCUUAGGUAUAAUUAGCAAACUAAGAAAGCAUUAGUGAGUAAAACUCACUUGGCAAAGUGAAGAUCGGAACAUUGCGAUGGCGAUGCAAUAGCGGUCGAAAUCCAAAUUUUUGGCAGCGUCGGCGGAUACUCGGGUCGGGCCAAAAAGCCUUGCAAGCCCCACAGAGAACUAUUGGGCUUGGAUUGCUGAAGUCUCAGGCCGAAUUGCUGAAUUAACGGGCUGAACUUCAAAGCCAAAGGUGGGCUUGAAACUUGAUGGAGAUGAUGGGCCGAACUUAUUGGAUCCUUGGGCUUCGCUGGAAAUGGGCUGAGCUGAAAACAAUUGCGAACUGGGCUGAGUUGCUGAAGAUGGGCUUGACAAAUUCGUGUGGGCUGAAGAAAAAAAAACUUUUGUGGACUGCUGCAGCUGAAGCCUCGGCUGGGCUUGACUUCAAUUGGGUCGUGCAAGAAGCAGCAAGGGCUGCUGACUGAAGAGCUGUUGGACUAGGUUUUGCUGGGCCGAAGAUCUGAAGAUGCUGGGCUGAAGAGGCCGAACUUUAGCCUGUCUCACACGGGCUAGAUGGACGCUGGCGCACGGAGGAAAAUGGAGGGCGACGCACGCGGUUUCGUUGGUCUUCGGUUGCUUCGUGCGCGGCAGCAAGGAAGGCCGCUCGGUGGAGAUUCGUGCGUUGCUGCUGCAGACUACGCGGACGAAGAAGCAGCUUGCUGUCUUCGAUGGGGAAAAACGACCGACCGUGCGAUGGGAGGAGAGAGAUCACGGGGCUGUGGUAUUCAGUGGAGCUGCAGUUAACCAAGGACGUGGCAGCAAGCGGUUGGACAGAAGACGUGUGGAUGGGGCAGGCGUCGGGGACGAAACGAAGAUGCUGAAGCUGAGCGUUGAAGACCUGCUGGGAUUGAAGAAACCGAAGGGAACAAACGUGAGUGGAGCAGGGGCAAGCUAGCAGGAGGAGUCAACUGCUAGGCUUUCGGUGGCUUGCUGUUGACCGUGAAAGAGCAGGCUGUGAACACGUAGAGAAGCAGACGUCGCUGGCAAGGGUCUUCGGUCAGCAAGGCUUCAUGAAAUUUUGAAGCCGCGUGGAGCUUCGGUCUUCGUGGGCAGAGAAGACUGAGAUGCUGGCUCAAGUGGGGUUUCGUUGAGUGGAGAGAGAUGAGGAGAGCAGCGAAGGAAAUUAAGGAAAUGAAAUUGAAGCAGAACUUGGUGGAGUCGGCCGUGAAGAUGAGGCGCACGAAGAGAUGAAAGACCGGCAAGCAAUGGUGCUCAAGUGGUCUUGCAAAAAGGGGCCCCAAAGUCAAUCAAGCUUAUCCCUAAAUUGAAUGCUUGGACUCGC
This 3207-nucleotide long non-coding RNA is filed under the name Eucalyptus grandis. RNAcentral describes it as "long non-coding RNA (EGRA_LNC004191)". The record is from RNAcentral. Lineage: Eukaryota; Viridiplantae; Streptophyta; Magnoliopsida; Myrtales; Myrtaceae.